CCUUGAGUUUGAUCAUGGCUCAGGACGAACGCUGGCGGCGUGCCUCAUACCCGCAAGUCGAGCGAGGUGUAGCAAUACACCUAGCGGCGGACCGUUGAGUAACACGUGGGCAACCUGCCUCAAAGACAGGGAUAACACUCCGAAAGGAGUGCUAAUACCUGGUAAGCUCACAAGGCCCCAUGGUCUGGUGAGAAAAGGAGUAAUCCGCUUUGAGAUGGGCCCGCGUCCCAUUAGCUAGUUGGUAAGGUAAUGGCCUACCAAGGCGACGAUGGGUAGCCGACCUGAGAGGAUGAUCAGCCACACUGGAACUGAGACACGUUCCAGACUCCUACGGGAGGCAGCAGUGGGGAAUCUUGCACAAUGGAGGAAACUCUGAUGCAGCGACGCCGCGUUUUUUUUUUAGUCCUUAGGGUUGUAAAGCUCUUUCGGUGGUGACGAUGAUGACGGUAACCACAGAAGAAGCCCCGGCUAACUCCGUGCCAGCAGCCGCGGUAC
RNAcentral lists this ribosomal RNA (495 nucleotides) under uncultured Clostridiaceae bacterium. RNAcentral's name for it is "bacterial SSU rRNA". It matches the Rfam family "Bacterial small subunit ribosomal RNA", at positions 1 to 523 of the family's 1533-position model. The record is from RNAcentral. Lineage: Bacteria; Bacillati; Bacillota; Clostridia; Eubacteriales; Clostridiaceae.